AAGCUGUUGUCUGAACCGCUUCACACCCAUGCAGGGAUCCGGGCUUAGAAGGAGCUAAACAGGGACAGACAUGAGAUCUAGGCCGGUGGAGACUCCAAUGAGUUUGGUUUAAAGUGGGGGAAACACCUCUGAGCCGACUAGCGCUUCCGCACCCGCACCCGUCAUAAAGAGCUGUCUGAGCGCCUCCACCCAGGCUGGCUGCUGGCCUCUUUAAAAUCAGCCCUGGCGACCUGUGAUUCUUUUUUUUCUCUGUGCCAUGGAUGGCCUGGCAGCCAAUUGCUGCUGGCCCUGGAGCUGGCUGCAGCCAACUUGCCCUGCCUGUGACCCGCAAAUGGCUCGCCCUGGCUGGAUGAAUUGGAAAGCCAACUUACUUCUGGAAGUUCAGCCUGAUCUGAUCCUGCUUGUCAGUGAUGAAGUGAAAACAAAAUACUAGGAGGCCCACACCAGGGUUUCUCUGACAGAGAGGACUGACAAGGCAGUAACAGCUCUGAGGACCGUCAGCGUUACCGGAAAAAUAAAACCUGAAGGCUUGGAGGCCGAACAAUGAACCUACAGGCCUCUCACGAUCCUGCUUCAGUUGAGCCUCUGCUCAGAAAUCUUCAGGAAGAAGUCAACCCAAGACCCCAGCUUCCUCGGGCCCCACCUCUGUGCCCCCUGCUGACUGAAGGUGGUUGGCAAAGCCUCUCCCAGCUGAGAAACCUGCUGGAGGCUCUCAGGGCUGUGGAGUGGCUCAAGCUACUUCCAGUUUCUGUAGUUCCCGCUUUAUGAAAAGGAAAGAAAGAAGAACUGGCUCCUACAUUGUCACCACUGUGUGCUACAGAUACUCAUAGUGAGGUGCCAUGGAUGCCAAAAG
Molecule: long non-coding RNA, 853 nt
Filed under: Cricetulus griseus (Chinese hamster)
Lineage: Eukaryota; Metazoa; Chordata; Mammalia; Rodentia; Cricetidae
Description: lncRNA (ENSCGRG00015037478.1)
Source: RNAcentral